This 253-nucleotide ribosomal RNA is filed under the name uncultured bacterium. RNAcentral's name for it is "partial 16S ribosomal RNA". It matches the Rfam family "Bacterial small subunit ribosomal RNA", at positions 524 to 776 of the family's 1533-position model. The record is from RNAcentral.
UACGGAGGGGGCUAGCGUUGUUCGGAAUUAUUGGGCGUAAAGCGCGUGUAGGCGGCUUUGCAAGUCGGGUGUGAAAGCCCUCAGCUCAACUGAGGAAGUGCGCCCGAAACUGCAGAGCUUGAGUGCCGGAGAGGGUGGCGGAAUUCCCCAAGUAGAGGUGAAAUUCGUAGAUAUGGGGAGGAACACCGGUGGCGAAGGCGGCCACCUGGACGGUAACUGACGCUGAGGCGCGAAAGCUAGGGGAGCAAACGGG